CAAGUCGAACGAACUUAACCAUUAGUUUACUAUUGGAGCGGUUAGUGGCGGACUGGUGAGUAACACGUAAGCAACCUGCCUAUCAGAGGGGAACAACAGUUAGAAAUGACUGCUAAUACCGCAUAUGCCUUAGAAUCACAUGGUUCGAAAGGGAAAGGAGCAAUCCGCUGAUAGAUGGGCUUGCGUCUGAUUAGCUAGUUGGUGGGGUAAUGGCCUACCAAGGCGACGAUCGGUAGCCGAACUGAGAGGUUGAACGACCACAUUGGGACUGAGAUACGGCCCAGACUCCUACGGGAGGCAGCAGUCGGGAAUAUUGCGCAAUGGAGGAAACUCUGACGCAGUGACGCCGCGUGCAGGAAGAAGGUUUUCGGAUUGUAAACUGCUUUAGACAGGGAAGAACAAAGACAGUACCUGUAGAAUAAGCUCCGGCUAACUACGUGCCAGCAGCCGCGGUAAUACGUAGGGAGCGAGCGUUAUCCGGAUUUAUUGGGUGUAAAGGGUGCGUAGACGGGAAGUCAAGUUAGUUGUGAAAUCCCUCGGCUUAACUGAGGAACUGCAACUAAAACUGAUUUUCUUGAGUACUGGAGAGGAAAGUGGAAUUCCUAGUGUAGCGGUGAAAUGCGUAGAUAUUAGGAGGAACACCAGUGGCGAAGGCGACUUUCUGGACAGAAACUGACGUUGA
This 682-nucleotide ribosomal RNA is filed under the name uncultured bacterium. RNAcentral describes it as "bacterial SSU rRNA". It matches the Rfam family "Bacterial small subunit ribosomal RNA", at positions 58 to 749 of the family's 1533-position model. The record is from RNAcentral.